Molecule: ribosomal RNA, 251 nt
Filed under: uncultured prokaryote
Description: partial 16S rRNA
Rfam family: Bacterial small subunit ribosomal RNA
Source: RNAcentral
ACGUAGGGGGCAAGCGUUGCUCGGAAUUACUGGGCGUAAAGGGUGUGUAGGUGGCUGAUUAAGUUAAGGAUGAAAUCCCGAGGCUCAACUUCGGAACUGUCCUUGAUACUGGUCAGCUUGAGGCUAGUAAAGGAGAGCGGAAUUCCCGGUGGAGCUGUGAAAUGCGUAGAUAUCUGGAGGAACACCAGAGGCGGAGGCGGCACACUAGUUUAGUUCUGACUCUGAGACACGAAAGCUAGGGGAGCAAAAGG